GACGAACGCUGGCGGCGUGCUUAACACAUGCAAGUCGAACGGAAAGGCCCUGCUUUUGUGGGGUGCUCGAGUGGCGAACGGGUGAGUAACACGUGAGUAACCUGCCCUUGACUUUGGGAUAACUUCAGGAAACUGGGGCUAAUACCGGAUAGGAGCUCCUGCUGCAUGGUGGGGGUUGGAAAGUUUCGGCGGUUGGGGAUGGACUCGCGGCUUAUCAGCUUGUUGGUGGGGUAGUGGCUUACCAAGGCUUUGACGGGUAGCCGGCCUGGGAGGGUGACCGGCCACAUUGGGACUGAGAUACGGCCCAGACUCCUACGGGAGGCAGCAGUGGGGAAUAUUGCACAAUGGGCGGAAGCCUGAUGCAGCAACGCCGCGUGCGGGAUGACGGCCUUCGGGUUGUAAACCGCUUUCGCCUGUGACGAAGCGUGAGUGACGGUAAUGGGUAAGGAAGCACCGGCUAACUACGUG
RNAcentral lists this ribosomal RNA (468 nucleotides) under uncultured bacterium. RNAcentral's name for it is "partial 16S ribosomal RNA". It matches the Rfam family "Bacterial small subunit ribosomal RNA", at positions 28 to 507 of the family's 1533-position model. The record is from RNAcentral.